GAUGAACGCUGGCGGCGUGCCUAAUACAUGUAAGUCGAGCGAACGGACGAGAAGCUUGCUUUUCUGAUGUUAGCGGCGGACGGGUGAGUAACACGUGGAUAACCUACCUAUAAGACUGGGAUAACUUCGGGAAACCGGAGCUAAUACCGGAUAAUAUUUUGAACCGCAUGGUUCAAAAGUGAAAGACGGUCUUGCUGUCACUUAUAGAUGGAUCCGCGCUGCAUUAGCUAGUUGGUAAGGUAACGGCUUACCAAGGCAACGAUGCAUAGCCGACCUGAGAAGGUGAUCGGCCACACUGGAACUGAGACACGGUCCAGACUCCUACGGGAGGCAGCAGUAGGGAAUCUUCCGCAAUGGGCGAAAGCCUGACGGAGCAACGCCGCGUGAGUGAUGAAGGUCUUCGGAUCGUAAAACUCUGUUAUUAGGGAAGAACAUAUGUGUAAGUAACUGUGCACAUCUUGACGGUACCUAAUCAGAAAGCCACGGCUAACUACGUG
This 497-nucleotide ribosomal RNA is filed under the name uncultured bacterium. RNAcentral's name for it is "partial 16S ribosomal RNA". It matches the Rfam family "Bacterial small subunit ribosomal RNA", at positions 28 to 507 of the family's 1533-position model. The record is from RNAcentral.